CCUACGGGAGGCAGCAGUGAGGAAUAUUGGACAAUGGGCGCAAGCCUGAUCCGGCCAUGCCGCGUGCAGGAUGAAGCAUCUAUGGUGUGUAAACUGCUUUUGUACGAGAAGAAACACUCCGACGUGUCGGAGCUUGACGGUAUCGUAAGAAUAAGGAUCGGCUAACUCCGUGCCAGCAGCCGCGGUAAUACGGAGGAUCCAAGCGUUAUCCGGAAUCAUUGGGUUUAAAGGGUUCGUAGGCGGGCUUAUAAGUCAGUGGUGAAAUCUCCCGGCUCAACCGGGAAAUGGCCAUUGAUACUGUAGGUCUUGAAUUAUUAGGAAGUAACUAGAAUAUGUAGUGUAGCGGUGAAAUGCUUAGAGAUUACAUGGAAUACCAAUUGCGAAGGCAGGUUACUACUAAUUGAUUGACGCUGAUGGACGAAAGCGUGGGUAGCGAACAGGAUUAGAUACCCUGGUAGUCCACGCCGUAAACGAUGGAUACUAGCUGUUGGGGGUCAACUUCAGUGGCUAAGCGAAAGUGAUAAGUAUCCCACCUGGGGAGUACGUUCGCAAGAAUGAAACUCAAAUGAAUUGACGG
Molecule: ribosomal RNA, 577 nt
Filed under: uncultured bacterium
Lineage: Bacteria
Description: bacterial SSU rRNA
Rfam family: Bacterial small subunit ribosomal RNA
Source: RNAcentral